UCCUCCAACAAAGGCUUGUCCGUGGUUUCCUGUCCUUGGACAUGGAAGAAUUGGAGGCAAAGAGAUGUGGACUUGAAGAAGUCUGGAGUAGGCUUGCUCCCUACAGGCUCAAGAUCAUCCUUUACCA
RNAcentral lists this small nucleolar RNA (127 nucleotides) under Dasypus novemcinctus (nine-banded armadillo). RNAcentral's name for it is "Small nucleolar RNA SNORA38 (ENSDNOG00000026092.1)". It matches the Rfam family "Small nucleolar RNA SNORA38". Rfam says of the family: ACA38 is a member of the H/ACA class of snoRNA that guide the sites of modification of uridines to pseudouridines. The record is from RNAcentral. Lineage: Eukaryota; Metazoa; Chordata; Mammalia; Cingulata; Dasypodidae.